UUGGAGGGCAAGUCUGGUGCCAGCAGCCGCGGUAAUUCCAGCUCCAAUAGCGUAUAUUAAAGUUGUUGCAGUUAAAAAGCUCGUAGUUGAAUUUCGGGAUUAGUACGCUGGUCGUGCCUUCGGUACGUACUGGUGUUGCUGAUUUCUACCUUCUGACGAACCAUCAUGUCAUUAAUUUGGUGUGGUGGGGAAUCAGGACUGUUACUUUGAAAAAAUUAGAGUGUUUAAAGCAGGCUCGCGCUUGAAUACAUUAGCAUGGAAUAAUGAAAUAGGACGUUGAUCCUAUUUUGUUGGUUUCUAGGAUUGACGUAAUGAUUAAUAGGGAUAGUUGGGGGCAUUAGUAUUCAAUUGUCAGAGGUGAAAUUCUUGGAUUUAUUGAAGACUAACUACUGCGAAAGCAUUUGCCAAGGAUGUUUUCAUUAAUCAAGAACGAAAGUUAGGGGAUCGAAGACGAUCAGAUACCGUCGUAGUCUUAACCAUAAACUAUGCCGACUAGGGAUCGGAUGAUGUUAUUUUUAAUGACUCAUUCGGCGCCUUACGGGAAAC
Molecule: ribosomal RNA, 546 nt
Filed under: uncultured Glomeromycotina
Lineage: Eukaryota; Fungi; Glomeromycota
Description: SSU rRNA
Rfam family: Eukaryotic small subunit ribosomal RNA
Source: RNAcentral